GGGGGCGUAGCUUAAUUGGUAGAGCAUCUGUUUUGCAUACAUAAGGUUACCAGUUCAAGUCUGGUCGUCUCCA
This 73-nucleotide transfer RNA is filed under the name Diacronema viridis. RNAcentral describes it as "tRNA-Ala". It matches the Rfam family "tRNA". Rfam says of the family: Transfer RNA (tRNA) molecules are approximately 80 nucleotides in length. Their secondary structure includes four short double-helical elements and three loops (D, anti-codon, and T loops). Lineage: Eukaryota; Haptophyta; Pavlovophyceae; Pavlovales; Pavlovaceae. The record is from RNAcentral.